This 471-nucleotide ribosomal RNA is filed under the name uncultured bacterium. RNAcentral's name for it is "bacterial SSU rRNA". It matches the Rfam family "Bacterial small subunit ribosomal RNA", at positions 329 to 793 of the family's 1533-position model. The record is from RNAcentral.
CUACGCACUCCUACGGGAGGCAGCAGUGGGGAAUAUUGCACAAUGGGCGCAAGCCUGAUGCAGCCAUGCCGCGUGUAUGAAGAAGGCCUUCGGGUUGUAAAGUACUUUCAGCAGUGAGGAAGGUGGAUAUGUUAAUAGCAUAUUCAUUUGACGUUAGCUGCAGAAGAAGCACCGGCUAACUCCGUGCCAGCAGCCGCGGUAAUACGGAGGGUGCGAGCGUUAAUCGGAAUUACUGGGCGUAAAGCGCAUGCAGGUGGUUUGUUAAGUCAGAUGUGAAAGCCCGGGGCUCAACCUCGGAAUUGCAUUUGAAACUGGCAAACUAGAGUACUGUAGAGGGGGUAGAAUUUCAGGUGUAGCGGUGAAAUGCGUAGAGAUCUGAAGGAAUACCGGUGGCGAAGGCGGCCCCCUGGACAGAUACUGACACUCAGAUGCGAAAGCGUGGGGAGCAAACAGGAUUAGAUACCCUGGGAG